AUUGAACGCUGGCGGCAGGCCUAACACAUGCAAGUCGAGCGGGGUUUUCGGACCUAGCGGCGGACGGGUGAGUAAUGCGUAGGAAGCUACCCGAUAGAGGGGGAUACCAGUUGGAAACGACUGUUAAUACCGCAUAAUGUCUACGGACCAAAGUGUGGGACCUUCGGGCCACAUGCUAUCGGAUGCGCCUACGUGGGAUUAGCUAGUUGGUGAGGUAAUGGCUCACCAAGGCGACGAUCUCUAGCUGGUUUGAGAGGAUGAUCAGCCACACUGGAACUGAGACACGGUCCAGACUCCUACGGGAGGCAGCAGUGGGGAAUAUUGGACAAUGGGCGCAAGCCUGAUCCAGCCAUGCCGCGUGUGUGAAGAAGGCCUCGGUUGUAAGACACUUCUAGCGA
RNAcentral lists this ribosomal RNA (398 nucleotides) under uncultured bacterium. Its description in RNAcentral is "bacterial SSU rRNA". It matches the Rfam family "Bacterial small subunit ribosomal RNA", at positions 30 to 442 of the family's 1533-position model. The record is from RNAcentral.